Non-coding RNA from Mustela lutreola (European mink), 459 nucleotides. The record is from the annotation of a RefSeq genome assembly. NCBI's taxonomy places the organism in Eukaryota, Metazoa, Chordata, Mammalia, Carnivora, Mustelidae.
CAUGGUAAGAAUGAGGAACAUUUUUUAGGUGACGCUCCAGAGAUGAAGUGUUCUCCAGGCUUCGUGAUUGUGGUACUCUUUAUGCUUGGACAAACCCAGGGAGACUCGGUGACUCAGGCGGAAGUCCAAGUGACCCUCUUAGAAGAGGCUUCCCUGACUGUGAACUGCACUUAUUCAACAACUGUGUUUCCCACUCUUUUCUGGUAUGUCCAGUAUCCCAGUAAAGGUCUACAGCUCCUCUUGAGCUCCUCGAGAGACCAGGAGAAGAAAAGCAACAAAGGUUUUGAAGUUACCUUGGACAGCAAAUCCAAAUCCUUCCACUUGGAGAAAGGCUCCGUGCAAGCAUCAGAUUCAGCUGUGUACUACUGUGCCCUGAGUGACACAGUGACAGGGACUGCAGGGGGAGCUGAGCACAAAUUGAGCAGAACAGGGUCCUGGGUGCUGAGUGUCUUUGCCUGA